This 424-nucleotide ribosomal RNA is filed under the name uncultured prokaryote. Its description in RNAcentral is "bacterial SSU rRNA". It matches the Rfam family "Bacterial small subunit ribosomal RNA", at positions 355 to 796 of the family's 1533-position model. The record is from RNAcentral.
UGGGGAAUAUUGGACAAUGGGCGAAAGCCUGAUCCAGCCAUGCCGCGUGAGUGAUGAAGGCCUUAGGGUUGUAAAACUCUUUCGCUGGGGAAGAUAAUGACGGUACCCAGUAAAGAAGCCCCGGCUAAUUUCGUGCCAGCAGCCGCGGUAAUACGAAAGGGGCUAGCGUUGUUCGGAAUUACUGGGCGUAAAGCGCGCGUAGGCGGCAUGCCAAGUUGGGGGUGAAAUCCCUGGGCUCAACCCAGGAACUGCCUCCAAAACUGGCAAGCUAGAGGUUGUGAGAGGAUAGUGGAAUUCCGAGUGUAGAGGUGAAAUUCGUAGAUAUUCGGAGGAACACCAGUGGCGAAGGCGGCUCACUGGCUCGAUACUGACGCUGAGGUGCGAAAGUGUGGGGAGCAAACAGGAUUAGAUACCCCCGUAGUCC